CCUACGGGAGGCAGCAGUGGGGAAUAUUGCACAAUGGGGGCAACCCUGAUGCAGCGACGCCGCGUGAGUGAAGAAGUAUCUCGGUACGUAAAGCUCUAUCAGCAGGGAAGAAAAUGACGGUACCUGACUAAGAAGCCCCGGCUAACUACGUGCCAGCAGCCGCGGUAAUACGUAGGGGGCAAGCGUUAUCCGGAUUUACUGGGUGGAAAGGGAGCGUAGACGGCAGCACAAGUCUGGAGUGAAAUCCCGGGGCUUAACCCCGGCACUGCUUUGGAGACUGUGCGGCUGGAGUGCAGGAGGGGGAAGGUGAAUUCCCAGGGUAGCGGGGAAAGGGGGAGAUAUUAGGAGGAACACCGGUGGCGAAGGCGGCUUACUGGACUGUAACGGACGUUGAGGCUCGAAAGCGGGGGGAGCAAACAGGAUUAGAUACCCCUGUAGUC
Molecule: ribosomal RNA, 440 nt
Filed under: uncultured bacterium
Lineage: Bacteria
Description: partial 16S ribosomal RNA
Rfam family: Bacterial small subunit ribosomal RNA
Source: RNAcentral